Molecule: long non-coding RNA, 793 nt
Organism: Capsicum annuum
Lineage: Eukaryota; Viridiplantae; Streptophyta; Magnoliopsida; Solanales; Solanaceae
Exons: 2
Source: RefSeq, a predicted model, not a curated record
AAGCAAAAUAAGGGCCCUCAUGGGAAUUCACUGGGAAAGCAAUACAUACAUAAGAGAAUCUUCCAAAUUGGAUCCAUUCUUCCAUUUUUUUUCAAUAAACAAACAAAAAUGAGUGGGGCCCACAAAAUUAUUCUAAUCACUCUCCGUAUAUACACUAUCAUAUUCACUGGAAAAGGGGAUGAUCUUCUUCUCCACGUUGAAUUUUUCCACAACAGUAAGGGGAACACCCUAUACACGCACAAAAUAACACACACACGCACCAAAAAUUGAGAACAAGUGAGAGAGAUUGAGUUGGAGAGAGAGGAGAGGUCGAAAGAGAGAGAGAAUUUGGGAGGAUGAAGACAGCGACACCGCUGAUAAGCUCGUUGGAGAUCCAGCAAUGCUACCACGUUGACCGGAGAACACUGGGAAACCGCCGACCCCCCAGUGUCAUUUCCGGCGACCAUCCAUCGGAAGGUGCCGAAACCCACUGGCGAGCAAUCAAAAUCGGCUCAACCAGUCUUGAUUACGGUGAGACCUACCGGAGAACGACCAAAAAUAGUAACGGAGCGGGCUGAUCAGAGGCUGAUUUGGGGUUCUUCGACACGCGGACUCUGUCUUCUCGAUCGACUGAUAUUUGAAAUAAAAUCAUCAUUGAGGUCCAAUUUUACCCUCUCUCCAUUUAGUUUUUACAUAACUGUGGAGGAGUUGUGUGUUUGGUAUGUUUGAAUCUUGAUUGUGUAUUGGUUGAUAUUGAAUUUGAAUGUUGAAAACUUGGAUUAGUAGUCGAAGAAGUAAUUAAUUAUUUCGAGAA